AAGACUAUAGACCUGCGGAGUACCUGCGGAGGGAUCAUUAACAAAUCUGUGUGAUGUUGCGUUGCAAGACGUGACACCAUUUGCUCCAUGUGCAUGCUUUGUGCACAUUGUGACAUUUCUGCGAAUCAUCUGAUACACCGAUAAAGAAUCAUGAACAACUUUUAACAACGGAUCUCU
This 177-nucleotide unclassified non-coding RNA is filed under the name soil metagenome. RNAcentral describes it as "partial contains 5.8S ribosomal RNA, internal transcribed spacer 2, and large subunit ribosomal RNA". The record is from RNAcentral.